UAGUCCACGCAGUAAACGAUGAGUGCUAGUUGUCGGGAUUUUUCUCGGUGGCGAAGCUAACGCGUUAAGCACUCCGCCUGGGGAGUACGGCCGCGAGGCUAAAACUCAAAGGAAUUGACGGGGACCCGCACAAGCAGUGGAGCAUGUGGUUUAAUUCGAUGAUACGCGAGAAACCUUACCAGCUCUUGAAUCCUGAUUACGAUUUUCAGAGAUGAAUUUUUCAGUCCGGCUGGACCAGUGACAGGUGCUGCAUGGCUGUCGUCAGCUCGUGUCGUGAGAUGUUGGGUUAAGUCCCGCAACGAGCGCAACCCUCAUCCUUAGUUGCCAGCAUUUAGUUGGGCACUCUAAGGAAACUGCCGGUGAUAAGCCGGAGGAAGGUGGGGAUGACGUCAAGUCCUCAUGGCCCUUACAAGCUGGGCUACACACGUGCUACAAUGGCGAUGACAGUGAGCAGCUAACCCGCGAGGGCAAGCUAAUCUCUAAAAGUCGUCUC
RNAcentral lists this ribosomal RNA (493 nucleotides) under uncultured bacterium. RNAcentral describes it as "bacterial SSU rRNA". It matches the Rfam family "Bacterial small subunit ribosomal RNA", at positions 791 to 1289 of the family's 1533-position model. The record is from RNAcentral.